GGUUAAGCGACUAAGCGUACACGGUGGAUGCCCUGGCAGUCAGAGGCGAUGAAGGACGUGCUAAUCUGCGAUAAGCGUCGGUAAGGUGAUAUGAACCGUUAUAACCGGCGAUUUCCGAAUGGGGAAACCCAGUGUGAUUCGUCACACUAUCAUUAACUGAAUCCAUAGGUUAAUGAGGCGAACCGGGGGAACUGAAACAUCUAAGUACCCCGAGGAAAAGAAAUCAACCGAGAUUCCCCCAGUAGCGGCGAGCGAACGGGGAGGAGCCCAGAGCCUGAAUCAGUGUGUGUGUUAGUGGAAGCGUCUGGAAAGGCGCGCGAUACAGGGUGACAGCCCCGUACACAAAAAUGCACAUGCUGUGAGCUCGAUGAGUAGGGCGGGACACGUGGUAUCCUGUCUGAAUAUGGGGGGACCAUCCUCCAAGGCUAAAUACUCCUGACUGACCGAUAGUGAACCAGUACCGUGAGGGAAAGGCGAAAAGAACCCCGGCGAGGGGAGUGAAAAAGAACCUGAAACCGUGUACGUACAAGCAGUGGGAGCACGCUUCGGCGUGUGACUGCGUACCUUUUGUAUAAUGGGUCAGCGACUUAUAUUCUGUAGCAAGGUUAACCGAAUAGGGGAGCCGAAGGGAAACCGAGUCUUAACUGGGCGUUAAGUUGCAGGGUAUAGACCCGAAACCCGGUGAUCUAGCCAUGGGCAGGUUGAAGGUUGGGUAACACUAACUGGAGGACCGAACCGACUAAUGUUGAAAAAUUAGCGGAUGACUUGUGGCUGGGGGUGAAAGGCCAAUCAAACCGGGAGAUAGCUGGUUCUCCCCGAAAGCUAUUUAGGUAGCGCCUCGUGAAUUCAUCUCCGGGGGUAGAGCACUGUUUCGGCAAGGGGGUCAUCCCGACUUACCAACCCGAUGCAAACUGCGAAUACCGGAGAAUGUUAUCACGGGAGACACACGGCGGGUGCUAACGUCCGUCGUGAAGAGGGAAACAACCCAGACCGCCAGCUAAGGUCCCAAAGUCAUGGUUAAGUGGGAAACGAUGUGGGAAGGCCCAGACAGCCAGGAUGUUGGCUUAGAAGCAGCCAUCAUUUAAAGAAAGCGUAAUAGCUCACUGGUCGAGUCGGCCUGCGCGGAAGAUGUAACGGGGCUAAACCAUGCACCGAAGCUGCGGCAGCGACACUAUGUGUUGUUGGGUAGGGGAGCGUUCUGUAAGCCUGUGAAGGUGUACUGUGAGGUAUGCUGGAGGUAUCAGAAGUGCGAAUGCUGACAUAAGUAACGAUAAAGCGGGUGAAAAGCCCGCUCGCCGGAAGACCAAGGGUUCCUGUCCAACGUUAAUCGGGGCAGGGUGAGUCGACCCCUAAGGCGAGGCCGAAAGGCGUAGUCGAUGGGAAACAGGUUAAUAUUCCUGUACUUGGUGUUACUGCGAAGGGGGGACGGAGAAGGCUAUGUUGGCCGGGCGACGGUUGUCCCGGUUUAAGCGUGUAGGCUGGUUUUCCAGGCAAAUCCGGAAAAUCAAGGCUGAGGCGUGAUGACGAGGCACUACGGUGCUGAAGCAACAAAUGCCCUGCUUCCAGGAAAAGCCUCUAAGCAUCAGGUAACAUCAAAUCGUACCCCAAACCGACACAGGUGGUCAGGUAGAGAAUACCAAGGCGCUUGAGAGAACUCGGGUGAAGGAACUAGGCAAAAUGGUGCCGUAACUUCGGGAGAAGGCACGCUGAUAUGUAGGUGAAGCGACUUGCUCGUGGAGCUGAAAUCAGUCGAAGAUACCAGCUGGCUGCAACUGUUUAUUAAAAACACAGCACUGUGCAAACACGAAAGUGGACGUAUACGGUGUGACGCCUGCCCGGUGCCGGAAGGUUAAUUGAUGGGGUUAGCGGUAACGCGAAGCUCUUGAUCGAAGCCCCGGUAAACGGCGGCCGUAACUAUAACGGUCCUAAGGUAGCGAAAUUCCUUGUCGGGUAAGUUCCGACCUGCACGAAUGGCGUAAUGAUGGCCAGGCUGUCUCCACCCGAGACUCAGUGAAAUUGAACUCGCUGUGAAGAUGCAGUGUACCCGCGGCAAGACGGAAAGACCCCGUGAACCUUUACUAUAGCUUGACACUGAACAUUGAGCCUUGAUGUGUAGGAUAGGUGGGAGGCUUUGAAGUGUGGACGCCAGUCUGCAUGGAGCCGACCUUGAAAUACCACCCUUUAAUGUUUGAUGUUCUAACGUUGGCCCGUGAUCCGGGUUGCGGACAGUGUCUGGUGGGUAGUUUGACUGGGGCGGUCUCCUCCUAAAGAGUAACGGAGGAGCACGAAGGUUGGCUAAUCCUGGUCGGACAUCAGGAGGUUAGUGCAAUGGCAUAAGCCAGCUUGACUGCGAGCGUGACGGCGCGAGCAGGUGCGAAAGCAGGUCAUAGUGAUCCGGUGGUUCUGAAUGGAAGGGCCAUCGCUCAACGGAUAAAAGGUACUCCGGGGAUAACAGGCUGAUACCGCCCAAGAGUUCAUAUCGACGGCGGUGUUUGGCACCUCGAUGUCGGCUCAUCACAUCCUGGGGCUGAAGUAGGUCCCAAGGGUAUGGCUGUUCGCCAUUUAAAGUGGUACGCGAGCUGGGUUUAGAACGUCGUGAGACAGUUCGGUCCCUAUCUGCCGUGGGCGCUGGAGAACUGAGGGGGGCUGCUCCUAGUACGAGAGGACCGGAGUGGACGCAUCACUGGUGUUCGGGUUGUCAUGCCAAUGGCACUGCCCGGUAGCUAAAUGCGGAAGAGAUAAGUGCUGAAAGCAUCUAAGCACGAAACUUGCCCCGAGAUGAGUUCUCCCUGACUCCCUGAGAGUCCUGAAGGAACGUUGAAGACGACGACGUUGAUAGGCCGGGUGUGUAAGCGCAGCGAUGCGUUGAGCUAACCGGUACUAAUGAACCGUGAGGCUUAACCUU
Molecule: ribosomal RNA, 2905 nt
Filed under: Escherichia coli
Lineage: Bacteria; Pseudomonadati; Pseudomonadota; Gammaproteobacteria; Enterobacterales; Enterobacteriaceae
Description: 23S ribosomal RNA
Rfam family: Bacterial large subunit ribosomal RNA
Source: RNAcentral